GCCCGGAUCCUGUGCAAUGCCAGCCUGUGAACCGCGUCAGGGCCGGAAGGCAGCAGCGCUCAGCAGUGUCUGUCAUGUGCCGCAGGGCCAUCCGGGUCGC
This 100-nucleotide signal recognition particle RNA is filed under the name Acidobacteriota bacterium. Its description in RNAcentral is "Acidobacteria bacterium signal recognition particle sRNA small type". It matches the Rfam family "Bacterial small signal recognition particle RNA". Rfam says of the family: The signal recognition particle (SRP) is a universally conserved ribonucleoprotein involved in the co-translational targeting of proteins to membranes. Archaeal SRP consists of a 7S RNA and homologues of the eukaryotic SRP19 and SRP54 proteins. In most bacteria, the SRP consists of a 4.5S RNA and the Ffh protein (a homologue of the eukaryotic SRP54 protein). Lineage: Bacteria; Pseudomonadati; Acidobacteriota. The record is from RNAcentral.